Molecule: ribosomal RNA, 407 nt
Filed under: Klebsiella pneumoniae
Lineage: Bacteria; Pseudomonadati; Pseudomonadota; Gammaproteobacteria; Enterobacterales; Enterobacteriaceae
Description: bacterial SSU rRNA
Rfam family: Bacterial small subunit ribosomal RNA
Source: RNAcentral
CCUAACACAUGCAAGUCGAGCGGUAGCACAGAGAGCUUGCUCUCGGGUGACGAGCGGCGGACGGGUGAGUAAUGUCUGGGAAACUGCCUGAUGGAGGGGGAUAACUACUGGAAACGGUAGCUAAUACCGCAUAAUGUCGCAAGACCAAAGUGGGGGGACCUUCGGGCCUCAUGCCAUCAGAUGUGCCCAGAUGGGAUUAGCUAGUAGGUGGGGUAACGGCUCACCUAGGCGACGUCCCUAGCUGGUCUGAGAGGAUGACCAGCCACACUGGAACUGAGACACGGUCCAGACUCCUACGGGAGGCAGCAGUGGGGAAUAUUGCACAAUGGGCGCAAGCCUGAUGCAGCCAUGCCGCGUGUGUGAAGAAGGCCUCGGGUUGUAAAGCACUUUCAGCGGGGAGGAAGGCG